ACUCAAAUGAAUUGACGGGGACCCGCACAACCAGUGGAGCGUGUUGUUCAAUUCGAUACUAAGCGAAAAACCUCACCAGGGCUUGACAUGUAACUGCAAAUCCCGUGAAAGCGGGACUUCUUCGAGAGUGUUACACAGGUGCUGCAUGGCUAUCGUCAGCUCGUGCCGUGAGGUGUUCCCUUAAGUGGGGAAACGAGCGCAACCCUUGUCUAAUGUUACAUAUUCAUUAGAGACGGUCCCAUUUUUUGGGAAGGAAGGAAAGGAAGACGUUAAGUCAGCACGGUCCUUACGCCCUGGGCCACAAACACCCUACAAUGGCGAAAAACAGCGUGCUGCGACACAGUAAUGUGAAGCUAAUCACUUAAAUUUCGCCUCAGUUCAGAUUGGGGGCUGCAACUCGCCCUCAUGAAGUCGGAAUUGGUAGUAAUCGCAGAUCAGAAGGCUGCGGUGAAUACGUUCUCGGGUCUUGUACACACCGCCCGU
This 483-nucleotide ribosomal RNA is filed under the name uncultured bacterium. RNAcentral's name for it is "partial 16S ribosomal RNA". It matches the Rfam family "Bacterial small subunit ribosomal RNA", at positions 899 to 1397 of the family's 1533-position model. The record is from RNAcentral.